Molecule: ribosomal RNA, 468 nt
Filed under: uncultured bacterium
Lineage: Bacteria
Description: bacterial SSU rRNA
Rfam family: Bacterial small subunit ribosomal RNA
Source: RNAcentral
CCAGACUCCUACGGGAGGCAGCAGUGAGGAAUACUGGUCAAUGGCCGGAAGGCUGAACCAGCCAAGCCGCGUGAAGGACGAAGGUGCCAAGCAUUGUAAACUUCUUUUGUCAAGGGACAAAAUCAGGCUCGAGAGCCUGACCGAGGGUACUUGAAGAAAAAGCAUCGGCUAACUCCGUGCCAGCAGCCGCGGUAAUACGGGGGAUGCAAGCGUUAUCCGGAUUUAUUGGGUUUAAAGGGUGCGUAGGCUGUGAGGUAAGUCAGCGGUGAAAUGCCCCCGCUCAACGGGGUGAAGUGCCAUUGAUACUGCCUUGCUGGAAUGCGGAUGCCGUGGGAGGAAUGUGUGGUGUAGCGGUGAAAUGCAUAGAUAUCACACAGAACACCGAUUGCGAAGGCAGCUUACUAAACUGCCACUGACAUUGAUGCUCGAAAGUGUGGGUAUCAAACAGGAUUAGAUACCCCAGUAAUA